AACAUCUUCAUUUUAUAGCUGAGGAAACUGAGGCAUAUAUUAUUUAAAUGGUGUGCCUAAGGUCAGACAUUUAGAAAAUGGCAAAGCUAUAAAUCAAAUUUUUGUCUAAUACCAAAAGUCUCAUUCUUCACUCUGCCCUAUCACCCUCCCUCUCUGAUACCCUCCCUGUUUGGAUUGGGGCAUGCAAAAGAGUGGAGAGCAGUCCUUUUUAGGUCACCACCAUGCAAAACUAUUUCAACUUCUGCAAUCAGGCCAUCCCAUCAGACAUGUGACAUGACAAGGGAACAUUUCCUCGUUCAGAGUGGCAUUAAAGGAAAUGAAAGCCGACAGAUCUUUGUUAUGCACGAGAAAACAACAUAAAUGGGAAAAUCUAUGAACAUCACCUCUGUAAGUCUCUGGAAAAUUUGCAGCAAAAACAAAUGGGCCAGAAUGUGAAUAGAUAAUGUUUCACCAAUGGGAACCUGGAAACCAUGAGGCCAAGCUCACAGGAAAAAUGAUCCAUUCUGUUCAGCAUGAAAUGAACUCUUUGGUGAAAUAGAGGAGGGCAGCUUAACUACCUGUUUCCCAAACAUAAGAUCUAUAGAUCUGAUUUUAACUUCUAGAAGGGGAAAGAAUGCUUCAGCAUAUUUCUCCUGGCACAUAGGCAAAGAUGAGAAGGAUUCUUCCACAGGCAAAUGGGAGCCCUUUGACGGUGUCCCUGCAACUUAGCAGUGCUUGGACAUCAGAGUCCGCUCCACACUCAUUAGGCUCUUGCUAUAGGUGGACAUGGAGAAAUAAGGGCACCCUGAGGAAUUAGAACAUGGCAUAGGAUAGUGCUGCUUAGAACAAGGGCUAUUGGACAAGAUACCAUCCUUUCUGACAAGGAGAUAGUUUCUAGUCGAUUGAAGGAAUGAUUUGAUUCUCAGGGGAUGUUAGUUUGUGAUACACCAAAGGUUCCACGAUUGCCCUACUGGGGCAUAUUAUGAAUUUCCCUGUUUCUAGUCUACUUGGGGAUUUGUUCUGCUUCUCCCUAGAAAAGCUUCUUCUUCAUGCAGAUUCCAUUUAACUUUUAGUGACAAACUAACAGUCCCACCCCCUUGCAACUAUUGGGAAAUGUGAAUCAUAUGCACAUUUUCAAGGAAUCUGGUUUUCUAUGC
RNAcentral lists this long non-coding RNA (1136 nucleotides) under Marmota monax (woodchuck). Lineage: Eukaryota; Metazoa; Chordata; Mammalia; Rodentia; Sciuridae. The record is from RNAcentral.